Hibiscus syriacus is the source of this 2205-nucleotide RNA transcript. It is a transcript of the gene named mannose-1-phosphate guanyltransferase-like, with no coding region annotated. Lineage: Eukaryota; Viridiplantae; Streptophyta; Magnoliopsida; Malvales; Malvaceae. The record is from RefSeq and is a predicted model, not a curated record. The transcript is spliced from 4 exons.
AUAAAGUAAUAACACUGUUGAGUGAAUUGUUACCUGGCUGAGUGGCUGGAGCUGGCCGGAGCGUGGAAGGCUUCCACGGAAGUUGAGGUUGGAGCUUUGCGAUUAACCUGCAGCGUGGCCGUUUUGAGUCUGGAGCGUGGCUGCUUGCUAGGGAUUUAGAUGGUUUGAGAUCUGGAGCGUACAACAAACAAUAUCAUUUAGUUAAUAUAUAUAUAUAUAUAAAAACUUAACCAUGUACUCGGGUAACUGGGUACACUGAAAAAUCAAUUUUUCUGAGGGCCGGGUAUUUUUUUAUAAAAUUAUUUGGUUUUUUUAUCCGGGUCGACGGGUCAGGUCAACCGGGUCGGGUAAUUUUGUACACCCCUAAUAAGAACAAUUAAGACACACAUAUUCAUGAUGUAUCGAUACCGGAAGGGGUAGUAUCGAUACCAUUUUUGGAAUGAAAACAUCGAAUCUAAUUAGGGUACCGACACCCAAGUAUGGUAUUGAUACCGUUAUAAAGGAAGUAUCGGUACUGUACCUUGGGUACCGAUACUACUUAAUAGAGAAAAUGUGAAUUAUGUUCAUUAAAUAGUUAAGUUAUUAAGAUCGAGCUAUAAUGUCUUGGAAAUCGUAUUUAUGUAGAUACUGAGCAUAAACGUGUUCCGGAACAAGUGACGAGUAAGAUCGAUCGAGGGAAAGACAAUGAAAUAUAGAUCGGUCCCAAUGUCUCAAUAUCCGCUAAUGCUCGUAUAGGAGCAGCUGUAAGGCUCAUCAGUUGUAUCAUUCUCGAUGGUGUUGAAAUCAUGGCUGAAGGAGACUAUAAUACCAAACUCGGAAUCACAAUUCUUGGAGAAGCAGUGGCUGUUGAAGAUGAAGUAGUGGUGACAGAUAGCAUCGUUCUUCCGAACAAGACACUAAACGCGAGCGUUCAAGAUGAAAUACUUCUAUGAUAUUUGUAUCCACUCCAAUCACGGCAUUAGAAUAAGAGUAAUUUCGGUUGUUGGACCGACGUUUUAUUUAUUUGAUUGUCUCAGAUUCAUUAGAGAAUACUGGUACAUUUGAUCAGCUUGAAAAGUUAAAACAGGUACUCUACAGUUGAUAAGCUUGAAGAAUCUGGCCAUGGAACGUUAGCUGUGAUCAUCUGCUCAUUAUACUCGAACUCGACAGGUGUCCCGUCGAUUUUGCACACCAUCGGCUUUUCCGAAGCGUACACCCUCAUUUCUCCACUUCCUUUAACUCCAACCCUCGCCACAUUCUCAUCAUCCUCCAACACCAUUGACAGAAUUGCACCCCCUGAAUUCAGCAUGUUCACCAGUCCGAUCGGAGCGAAUCGGAUGUUUUUUCUCGGUAACAUUGUCACAGGGGAGACUGUAAGUAGCUCGUAAUUGAAUGGUUCGAGUGAAAUCUCUACUUUAUCAGAUGAUUUCAUCAGCGUUAGCUUCCUAUUCUGGUACAUGUACACAGCAAAGAUGCCGGCACUGCUCGCCGGAACAGGUCUCUUCCUGUUGCUCCACUCGAUGUCUUUGGGGCUGGCAAAGCAGCCUACCAUGGCUGAAAACUGAGGCGCACUCUCGUUCCGUCGGGAUUCACGGCACCAUCCUCCACCUUGACAGUUGAAUAGUCCUAACACUCCUGUAUACUGAUGACACAAGGCAAAUGAUUCAAAUAUUCACACCUUUGGCAAUGCAAAUGGCAGUGAGAUUAUCAUCUUACCUUGUUGAGAUUCCAAAUCUUGAGCAUUGUUUUACCGUCAUGCAAAGGAUCUUCGAAAAGACAAUCUCUCGUCGGGGUUGCAUAGUGUUGGCAUCUCAAGAUGGAUCCGUCGGGCAACGCAAGGCUCUUCAGCAACUGGAAGUUGUGUUGUCCGACGGAGUCGCUCACAUAAACCGGUCCACCGGAUAUAGCUCGAGACGCGGCAUGGAACUCAGCACAUUGGUGAGUUGAUUGGAACAUGUCCCAAUCCGGGUGUAUGAAAUUCCCCAUCCACAAGCUGUUGUAGGCGCAAUGAACCAUGUGGCAGCCCUGAAGCCAAUACGUCCCGUUCGGAUCUUUCGAGGGGUCAGUGCACCAGAAAUCAUCGCCUACGUAGACAAGCACAUAACAUUUCGAGUUAAACCCUACACCAUGCAUAGAGAAGUCAAUAUGUUCCGUCGUGUUUCGGUUUUGAAAUACAUACCGACACGACCGAGUGAAAUGGCCUCCGUUCCGAGGAGGAAGAAGUCG